RNAcentral lists this ribosomal RNA (441 nucleotides) under uncultured bacterium. RNAcentral describes it as "bacterial SSU rRNA". It matches the Rfam family "Bacterial small subunit ribosomal RNA", at positions 954 to 1392 of the family's 1533-position model. The record is from RNAcentral.
GCAGAACGCGAAGAACCUUACCUGGGCUUGACAUGGUAGUCGUAGACUUGUGAAAGCUUGUCGUCACUUCGGGUGGACUAUCACAGGUGCUGCAUGGCUGUCGUCAGCUCGUGUCGUGAGAUGUUGGGUUAAGUCCCGUAACGAGCGCAACCCCUAUGAACUGUUGCCAGCGGGUAAUGCCGGGGACUCUGUUCAGACCGCCCAGAUUAACUGGGAGGAAGGAGGGGAUGACGUCAAGUCAGUAUGGCCCUUACGCCCAGGGCUGCACACGUGCUACAAUGUCCAGUACAAUGUGAACCAAUACCGUGAGGUGGAGGAAAUCGUCAAAACUGGGCUCAGUUCGGAUUGUAGGCUGCAACUCGCCUACAUGAAGUUGGAAUCGCUAGUAAUGCUGCAUCAGCUACGGCAGCGUGAAUACGUUCCCGGGUCUUGUACACACCG